UACGUAGGGGCCGAGCGUUGUCCGGAGUUCUUGGGCGUAAAGCGCGCGCAGGCGGCCUCGCGCGCCCGACGUGAAAGCCCCCGGCUUAACCGGGGAGGGUCGUUGGGGACGGCGGGGCUUGAGGGCGGGAGAGGUCGGUGGAAUUCCCGGUGUAGUGGUGAAAUGCGUAGAGAUCGGGAGGAACACCUGUGGCGAAGGCGGCCGACUGGGCCGACCCUGACGCUGAGGCGCGAAGGCGUGGGGAGCGAACGGG
Molecule: ribosomal RNA, 253 nt
Filed under: uncultured bacterium
Lineage: Bacteria
Description: partial 16S ribosomal RNA
Rfam family: Bacterial small subunit ribosomal RNA
Source: RNAcentral